AAACGUGCAACUCCCUUUGAGUCCGUUC
Molecule: small RNA, 28 nt
Filed under: Bombyx mori (domestic silkworm)
Lineage: Eukaryota; Metazoa; Arthropoda; Insecta; Lepidoptera; Bombycidae
Description: ovarian small RNA-10022
Source: RNAcentral